CCUACGGGGGGCAGCAGUGAGGAAUAUUGGUCAAUGGACGAGAGUCUGAACCAGCCAAGUAGCGUGAAGGAUGACUGCCCUAUGGGUUGUAAACUUCUUUUAUAUGGGAAUAAAACGUUCCACGUGUGGGAUUUUGUAUGUACCAUAUGAAUAAGGAUCGGCUAACUCCGUGCCAGCAGCCGCGGUAAUACGGAGGAUCCGAGCGUUAUCCGGAUUUAUUGGGUUUAAAGGGAGCGUAGGUGGAUUGUUAAGUCAGUUGUGAAAGUUUGCGGCGCAACCGUAAAAUUGCAGUUGAAACUGGCAGUCUUGAGUACAGUAGAGGUGGGCGGAAUUCGUGGUGUAGCGGUGAAAUGCUUAGAUAUCACGCAGAACUCCGAUUGCGAAGGCAGUUCACUGGACUGCAACUGACACUGAGGCUCGAAAGUGUGGGUAUCAAACAGGAUUAGAUACCCCAGUAGUC
Molecule: ribosomal RNA, 460 nt
Filed under: uncultured bacterium
Lineage: Bacteria
Description: partial 16S ribosomal RNA
Rfam family: Bacterial small subunit ribosomal RNA
Source: RNAcentral